CCUACGGGAGGCAGCAGUGAGGAAUAUUGGUCAAUGGGCGGAAGCCUGAACCAGCCAAGUAGCGUGCAGGAUGACGGCCCUACGGGUUGUAAACUGCUUUUAUACGGGAAUAACGCGCCUUACGUGUAGGGCUUUGCAUGUACCGUAUGAAUAAGGACCGGCUAAUUCCGUGCCAGCAGCCGCGGUAAUACGGAAGGUCCGGGCGUUAUCCGGAUUUAUUGGGUUUAAAGGGAGCGUAGGCCGCAUGUCAGGCGUGCUGUGAAAUGUCCGGGCUCAACCCGGGCCUUGCAGCGCGAACUGGCGUGAGUGAGUCGGCGGAAAGCAGGCGGAAUUCGGCGUGGAGCGGGGAAAUUGUUAG
This 358-nucleotide ribosomal RNA is filed under the name uncultured bacterium. RNAcentral's name for it is "partial 16S ribosomal RNA". It matches the Rfam family "Bacterial small subunit ribosomal RNA", at positions 338 to 693 of the family's 1533-position model. The record is from RNAcentral.